Molecule: ribosomal RNA, 253 nt
Filed under: uncultured bacterium
Lineage: Bacteria
Description: partial 16S ribosomal RNA
Rfam family: Bacterial small subunit ribosomal RNA
Source: RNAcentral
UACGUAGGUGGCAAGCGUUAUCCGGAUUUAUUGGGCGUAAAGGGAACGCAGGCGGUCUUUUAAGUCUGAUGUGAAAGCCUUCGGCUUAACCGAAGUAGUGCAUUGGAAACUGGGAGACUUGAGUGCAGAAGAGGAGAGUGGAACUCCAUGUGUAGCGGUGAAAUGCGUAGAUAUAUGGAAGAACACCAGUGGCGAAAGCGGCUCUCUGGUCUGUAACUGACGCUGAGGUUCGAAAGCGUGGGGAGCAAACAGG